Long non-coding RNA from Aquila chrysaetos chrysaetos, 2432 nucleotides. RefSeq lists it as uncharacterized. The record is from RefSeq and is a predicted model, not a curated record. NCBI's taxonomy places the organism in Eukaryota, Metazoa, Chordata, Aves, Accipitriformes, Accipitridae. The transcript has 2 exons.
GGUUGCCGUAUAACUGCGCCGCAAGCAGCCUGCAUAACCGCGACGGCAAUGCCGAGCCAGAGCGCGAGCCGCCGGCACCCGGGACCGCGCAUACGGCAUAGGCCUCGCCGCCAGCCCCCUCCAUAGCGCCAGGCCGUAUGCGGGGCGCGGGGCGCCGGUCGGCGCGGCCCCGGGCCCGGCAUGCGGCGGGAGGCGCGGGCGGGCGCUACCCAUACCGGCGGGGCGCAGCCAGGGCGCGGGGCCAGCGGAGAAGCGGGAGGGCGGCGGGCCGGGCCUCCCGGGACCCCCUGACAGGGCCCCUAAGCCCCCGCACAGGGACACCUCCUGCUGCAGCCGCCCUUCUCCCGGGCUGGUGCGGAGCUGAGGGCCUGCCCGGGACAGGGGGGCGGCCUGGCUGGCGAGCGAGCCCCUCUCUGUGGGGGGAGAAAAGAGCCACCUGGGUAGGGGCGAGGGGUACCGGCGCUGAGGUACCGUGAGCUGCUGGUUGCAGCCCAUCCCCUCCGCGUCCCCGUCUGCCUCCCACCCCCCCGUCCUGCUUGCCUGUCGGGCCGGGUCAGUGUCCCGCCAGGUGCCACCUCCAGGAAGAAGGUAAUGGCGAUGGCACCAGGCUGGCAGCUCCCUCUGGUCCCCGGUGUCAGACCGCCGGCUCGCCUCCAUCUUGUACAGCACAGCAAGAAUGGGGUUAACAUCCAACAAGUGUCCGCUGUGUUCCCUGAGAAAGACAACACUGCAAACACACGGUUGUAAAACCCCUCUAUCUGGGGAACGUAAAAUACCCGUUUCCUUCAGAGCUCAUCAGCUGAAGGGAGAGAGUGGCUGAGGGGGAAAGAAAGGAUGUUUGCCCCAUCCAGAAGCAACCAAACAACAUCUGCGGUGUUAAAGAUGACAGAAAAGCUUCUGGAGCCCAUGGGGUUUACUGAUGCCGCUUCUGCUUAUUUCACACUUGAUGUGCUGCUAGGGUUCUGCUUUGGGAGCAGGGCUGGGGUGGCUUCUGAUGAGGACUUCCCGGGAGGAAAAUCAAAACGAGAUGGUUCCUGUCUCUCUCAGGAGUGUGAAAGGGACUGGAACGUUUCCAGGCUCUCCCGUGCUUGGCUCGUCCAGUUUAAUCCAAUCCUCCCCGAGGCCAGUUUGCCAGCCCCUGUGACCCAGCGUGGGUGUGUGAACCACAGCACAGGGCUCUCUCGUGAGCCCCUGCAACCUUCAGCCCCGAGAGAGCAGCACGCUCAGGUAGGAACAAGUCGCAGGGCACAGGCAGGCCUUUGAGCGAGAUCAGGCAGACUUGCUCUCAGGGAAGUUCUCUUGGGUCUAGAAACCUUCUGCAAGUUAAGAUCACCCUUUAGAUCCCACGUGUGACCUCUCUUGUCUAUCUCUUGUUAAGGAAUAUGGGCUGCAGAUGCCCACUGAGGGGCCCCGGCAGGUUUCCCUCACCACUGUCUAUCUGUGGGGCAAUGGAUUUGUGAAGACAGGAGCUAAGAGCUCCUGGGGAGGGCCAGUUUUCGGGGCUGUCGUUCACCCUCGCCGGUGCCUGCAGCUGCCGCUCAGCCAGGGCGUUUGGCUGCAGGCCUGGUGAGAUUUGCCAGUGCCCUUUGCGAGAAAGCAUCGCCUCCUCCGAGGGGAGCGAGGAAUCGCAAAGUCCUUGGCAGCAAAGGAAGCAGCAGGAGCACCCAGCAAUAAAAGAGGUUUUCCGGGAGCACUGCUGCUUGGCCACAUCCAGCAGAAAUGGCGAUCUCCUGGACAGACGUGUGGGGAGAAGUGAGUGCAGGACACCAACUCUGGGCAGGGAGCUGGAAGCCCAGGUCCCGUUGCUGCUCCUGUCGCAGACUUACCUGGGGAAGCUGGAGUCCAAGAGGCUUCUUGCUGCGAUGAAGCAUUGAGAAAGUCAGCUCUGCUGCACGGAGAAGAGAAAUGGCUGUGCUACUGGUGCAGCCACCCCAGAGAUGUUUGGGUCACUCGGGGCAGCCAAGCUGGGGGACUGCGGGUUCACCAGGGAGCCAAAAACGAGGCCCAGAGGAACAAAGGAGCAGCCGAUACAACAACAGUAUCGACAAGAAGCAAUGCUGACUGGGAACCAUCUUCUAAGACAACAGAAACAGUUAAGUCCUACCCCAACACAACUGCUGGCUUCAGAGGACUCCUUCUAGAAAUUAUUUUUUGAAAACGCAUUACAGUGCAGGGGACUCACCAGGUUUUUGGAUACACCUCUCCACAAGCUGAUUGAAAAUGAGCCAGCUUGUGGAUUUCCGGACAGCUUACACCUCCAGCCGGCGGUGAGCUAAGAUGACACGUACAGUAAAGCUCUGUUUACCUUCAGAGGCUUCCACUCAACAAGUCGCACCCCAAACCAGCAGAACGGUGUGGAAUAGUGCUACGUACCCUAUGAUAUAAGCCACAGCAGAUAGCUUUUGAUACUGUAAAUAAAAUACUGGCGCUUU